RNAcentral lists this ribosomal RNA (447 nucleotides) under uncultured bacterium. Its description in RNAcentral is "bacterial SSU rRNA". It matches the Rfam family "Bacterial small subunit ribosomal RNA", at positions 355 to 825 of the family's 1533-position model. The record is from RNAcentral.
UCGGGAAUAUUGGACAAUGGGCGAAAGCCUGAUCCAGCAAUGCCGCGUGAGUGAUGAAGGCCCUAGGGUUGUAAAGCUCUUUUACCAGGGAUGAUAAUGACAGUACCUGGAGAAUAAGCUCCGGCUAACUCCGUGCCAGCAGCCGCGGUAAUACGGAGGGAGCUAGCGUUGUUCGGAAUUACUGGGCGUAAAGCGUACGUAGGCGGUUAUUCAAGUCAGAGGUGAAAGCCCGGGGCUCAACCCCGGAACGGCCUUUGAAACUAGGUAGCUAGAAUCUUGGAGAGGUCAGUGGAAUUCCGAGUGUAGAGGUGAAAUUCGUAGAUAUUCGGAAGAACACCAGUGGCGAAGGCGACUGACUGGACAAGUAUUGACGCUGAGGUACGAAAGCGUGGGGAGCAAACAGGAUUAGAUACCCGAGUAGUCCCUGAGCGGGCUGGCAAGGCGCAU